CACAAUACCCCAUAAUGACAUCACAAUACCCCAUAAUGACAUCACAAUACCCCAUAAUGACAUCACAUUAUCCCAUAAUGACAUCACAUUAUCCCACAAUGACAUCACAAUACCCCAUAAUGACAUCACAAUACCCCAUAAUGACAUCACAAUACCCCAUAAUGACAAAGCGUGAACAGGUUUAAGACAUUUUGGCAAUGAAAUAAAACUACUGAAAUAUCACAUUUACAUAAGACCCUUUACAGCAAUUACAGCCGUCUUCGGUAUGAGGCUACAAGCUUGGCACACCUGUAUUUGGGGAGUUUCUCCCAUUCUUCUCUGCAGAUCCUCUCAAGCUCUGUCAGGUUGGAUGGGGAGCGUCGCUGCACAGCUAUUUUCAGGUCUCUCCAGAGAUGUUAGAUCGGGUUCAAGUCCAGGCUCUGGCUGGGCCAGUCAAGGACAUUCAGAGACUUGUCCUGAAGCCACUCCUGUGUUGUCUUGGCUGUGUGCUUAGGGUCGUUGUUCUGUUGGAAGGUGAACCUUCACCCCAGUCUGAGGUCCUGAGCGCUCUGGAGCAGGUUUUCAUCAAGGAUCUCUCUGUACUUUGCUCCGUUCACCUUUCCCUCGAUCCUGACUAGUCUCCCAGUUCCUGAAAAACAUCCCCACAGCAUGAUGCUGCCACCACCAUGCUUCACCGUAGGGAUGAUGCCAGGUUUCCUCCAGACGUGACGCUUGGCUUUCAGGCCAAAGAGUUCAAUCUUUCUUUCAUCAGACCAGAGAAUCUUGUUUCUCGUGGUCUGAGAGUCCUUUAAGUGCCUUUAAUUCCUUUGACCUCGUGGCUUGGUUUUUGCUCUGUCAACUGUGGGACUUUCCAAAUCAUGUCCGUUCCAAUUGAAUUUACCACAGGUGGACUCCAAUCAAGUUGUAGAAACAUCUCAAGGACGAUCAAUGGAAACAGGAUUCACCUGAGCUCAAUUUGGAGUCUCAUGGCGAAGGGUCUGAAUACAAUAUGUAAAUAAGGUAUUUUUGAUUUGUAUUUUUAAUACAUUUGCUAACAUUUCUAAAAAAAAACAGUUUUUGCUUCGUUACUGUGGGGUAUUGUGAUGUCACUAUGGGGUAUUGUGAUGUCACUAUGGGGUAUUGUGAUGUCACUAUGGGGUAUUGUAUGUAGAUUGAUGAAGGAUAGUUAAAAAAAAAAAAAAAAAAAUCAAUUUUCUAAUAUGGCUGUAAUGAAACAAAGUGUGUAAAACAUCAAGGGGUCUGAAUACUUUCCAAAUGCCCUGUAUAUAGUGAACUACUACCCUAUGGGCCCUGGUCAAGAGUAGUGCACUAUAUAGGGAAUAGGGUGUUUCAUUCAAAAAGGUGCACCAACGAAAAGGCAACUCCAUAUAAAAAAAUAGUCCCAGAUCUGUUUGUAAAGAACCAUAACAGGAAGUGGUCCCCCUCUUAGCCUGGUCCCAGAUCUGUUUGUAAAGAACCAUAACAGGAAGUGGUCCCCCUCUUAGCCUGGUCCCAGAUCUGUUUGUAAAGAACCAUAACAGGAAGUGGUCCCC
Long non-coding RNA from Oncorhynchus tshawytscha (Chinook salmon), 1532 nucleotides. The record is from Ensembl. Lineage: Eukaryota; Metazoa; Chordata; Actinopteri; Salmoniformes; Salmonidae.